RNAcentral lists this small RNA (1645 nucleotides) under Drosophila pseudoobscura pseudoobscura. Its description in RNAcentral is "GA32284". The record is from RNAcentral. Lineage: Eukaryota; Metazoa; Arthropoda; Insecta; Diptera; Drosophilidae.
GAAGCUUUAACACAAACACGCAUUGCAAAAGCAAAGACACUCUCAACUUUUCGCCUCUGCUUCAGUUCUUUGCGCUCUCACCAACUGCAGUGGGAAGAGAGGGUCAUGAGCAUAAACUCAAGCAACUACACACACACACAAAUUGCAAAAGCAAAACGAGAGCUUAAAUGCUCUCACCUAUUACGGUUCGUUCACCUACAAAUGACCGAAUGCUUUGUCAAAUUUGAGCUCCCAGCGCAAACGCACGUUUUUCCGUGCCGUGGAGUAAAAUAAUCUUGAAAAUUAUUGGAAAAUGAUCGGAAAAUAUAUAAAAACCCGUGUGAUAAGUGUAGCAAGUAUUUAUAAUAAAAAUGCGCCAGAAAAGUCUUGUAACAAGUCGAAAAAAGUAUUGUGAAAAGCCGGAAAAGUGAUGAAAAAUUGUCGAAAAUGCAGGAAAAUGCAAUCCCAUGUGUGUGAAGAGCCAAAGGUUUGGGAAUAAUUGAAAAAAAAGAUCGCAGCAAGUGAGAAAACCGCGCCAGACAAAAUUGAGCGAAAUGCAUGGCACCAGGUCAUGAUGUCACCUUUCAGCUUGAGUUUUUUUUUUCAUUCUUUUCUGCGUGAGUUAGAUUCAAGCAGGGCGUCAUCUUUUCGGCAAGGGGUGAAAGGCUGAGGCCGACAAGGAAUAUAAGGCGAUACUGGCAAAAAUUCAGUGAAUGUGCGAGUUUUUUUCCCUUUCUUUUUUUCCUUUUUUUUUUGUGCGAGAGUUGGAGCGAAGCAGGAUGGCCAUCAAGACGGCAAGGAGUGCAAUGCGGCAAGCAGUGCAAGGCGAUAUUGGCAAAAAGUGAGUGAGUGUCAGUGAAAACCGUACAAAUAUAAAUGUACCGCAGGAACUAUAUAAAAAGAAAUAUUGAGCGCAAUGCGUGGAAGUAAACAAUUAGAGUUUUUUUUUCUGUGAGUGCUAGAUGGUCAUCAAGACGGCAAGGGGUGCACGGCGGCAAGCAGUGCAAGGCGAUAUUGGCGAAUAGUGAGUGAAAGUGGAGGAUGGUCAUCAGGACGGCAAGGGGUGCCAGGCGGCAAGCAGUGCAAGGCGAUAUUGGCAAAAAGUGAGUGAAAGUGCGUGAGUGAAGAGAAGAACGAUAAAAUGUACCGCAAAAACUAAAUAAAAAAGAGCGACAAGCAGUACAAAACUAAAAGCAGUGCAAGGCGAUGAAAGCCAAAACUGAGUAAAACUGGGAGUGGAAAUAAGAACAAUGGAAUCCACAGAAAUGAAUAAAGACCGGCAAGCAGUACAAGCCAAGAAGAGCAAAGAGAGUUGUGUCGAUUUAAAUGAAAGACCUAUCUGCAGAGCACUCAACAGUCCAAUCUUAUGCUAAUUUAAUGGACAUGGAAAUCCCUGCGGAGCGAGAGGUAAGCACUUCAUUAACAAACUACUAAAAACUACAAAACCGAGACGCCGCCUAAGAUAUCGCAUUACAUAAACCCCUGGGCCCCCCCUCGAAAGGCCAACCCCAGAAAUGGGAAACGAAAACGGAGAUGAUGGAGCAGCGGAGGCGCGUGGGUGGCCUGGGUAUUCCGUAUUCCAAUAAAACUUUUCAUUUUAGUUCAAACUCUGUGUGGACAGUUUUUGGUGGCAGGUCCAGGUUUUUGAGUUAGUUCCUCAUUAAUA